RNAcentral lists this ribosomal RNA (239 nucleotides) under Escherichia coli. RNAcentral's name for it is "partial 23S ribosomal RNA". It matches the Rfam family "Bacterial large subunit ribosomal RNA", at positions 1060 to 1297 of the family's 2925-position model. Lineage: Bacteria; Pseudomonadati; Pseudomonadota; Gammaproteobacteria; Enterobacterales; Enterobacteriaceae. The record is from RNAcentral.
UAAGUGGGAAACGAUGUGGGAAGGCCCAGACAGCCAGGAUGUUGGCUUAGAAGCAGCCAUCAUUUAAAGAAAGCGUAAUAGCUCACUGGUCGAGUCGGCCUGCGCGGAAGAUGUAACGGGGCUAAACCAUGCACCGAAGCUGCGGCAGCGACGCUUAUGCGUUGUUGGGUAGGGGAGCGUUCUGUAAGCCUGUGAAGGUGUGCUGUGAGGCAUGCUGGAGGUAUCAGAAGUGCGAAUGC